GAGAGAGAGAGAGAGAGAGAGAGAGAGAGAGAGAGGCUGUUGGCUUUGGGGGCCAAAGCCUUGGUGGGGAAUUGGUCUAGAAGGAAAGGAAAACUUCUUUCCCAUGAGACAGGAGGGACAGGAGAGGGCAGUUCUUAGAUUAGAGGAAGUGGGCAAGGAAUUAACAAGGCUUCCAUUCAACAAUUUCUAUUUUCUCCAUGAAAUAGGAGGCCAGAGGUUUAUUGAAGGACAGUGAAGAGGAAAAACCAUGACUGAAUGGGUCUGAAUCAUUCGUAUGAUUCCCUCAGGACUUGUGAGGGAAUUUCCAGUCCAGCUAGAAGUUGUAACACCUACUGCAAUGGCACAGGCUGCCGACAGGGCAGAUGAGCCCCCCUGCAUAUGGAUAAGUGGAGGUUAACACUCCCCCCGGCUGUCGCUGUUGGGAGAGGAAAGAUGACAGAGUACAUACACCAAAGAGAGUACAUAUCACAGGACAAAGGAGCCCCAGAAAAGCCCAAAGAUAGCCAGCUUCCUGGUUUAGAAGGGAAACUUUUUAUCUUUGCAAAUAGACUCCAAGUUCAGGUUUGAAUGUCCUGAGUCAUAGAAGCCCCAGCUCUACACUAACCAGCACCCUGCUGAAUCCUACAGCUCGAAAGAGGAAGAUGAUGUGAACGACAAGUCCUAAUGUGGUCCGUAAUUACCAGCCGGCUUUCGGAAACUGGUGGGAGGGCAGAAUGGAGUUCUUUGGGCUUGUUCAGACACCGAAUCCACAGGCUCAAAACCCCUGAUAAAACUUGAUUUUGUUCCAGAGGAGUGUGUUGGUGUCCGGGAUCGACAAUAAAACUUUCUGAUGUCUCAGACACCUUUUAUCUCUGAUGAAUGAAACCAGACCACUUUCCUCGGUCCACAUUCUGUAUGGGAGGAAAAGACAUGGUGAAGACACCGUUUGCCUCCUUUCCUGAGGCCCCAAGCUCGGGGCUGGAGAGCGUGUACCUACCUGGAGCUCAGUGUGUCAUUGAUGACUAAGUCAAGGAGUAGGCCUAGCGCUGAGGAGAUGAGCCUUCUUUUCUGCUGAACCGUCUUUCUGUUCAAUGGCCAGAAGACUCUGGCAUUUUCCUGACUCAGGAAUUGGCAACGCUUCUGACUCAGCAAGCCAAGCCCUCAUUUAUUUACUCUAAGGUAGCAUGUGCCAGGAAUACAUUCUAACCUUUAGAAGUUCUGUUAAUCCAGGUUCUGGCCAAAGCCACUACGUAGAAGAAUUCUCUUAUUAAGAUAAAACCCACUGAAACAUAAGAUCCAACAUAUGAAAUGUCUUUAAACUUCUGACACGGACUAGAUACUUGUUUUUUUGUUCCUCAUCUGAGGGAGAUUUUCUUCUUGCCUUAUGUGACUGGAGCAGCGGGGCACAUUCCUUGCAUCAGUGCCCCAGUUCAUUGUUUCGGGGCCCCCGAGAAACUGCGUUGGUCACCCAAGGGCCAGGGUGAGCGGGGUUGCUGCCAGGGGUGUUGCUGAGCACGUAUCAGGGAUUAGCAGGUGUCGGCCUGUGAGAUGUGUCUUUUAGUUGGUGAAUCACCCAGAAUUCAUCAAGGUAAAUGAGAGAUGAUACUUAUACUUACCUAAAGAGUAAAGAGAUUUAUUGACCAGUGGUUAGAUUGGCCAAAGACCCCUUAGGGAAGGUUCUAGAACUAGGUUUGGAAAGCAGGCAUAAACAAGAGAUGAGGCAUCCGCUGGGACCACAACCCUAAUCACACUCCAAUCAUACUCCCUAAUCAUACUUCUUGCUGGGUAACCAAAAAAGAAAAAUGUCUAUGAUGCUUGGCCACACGCUCUGCUGAUAUAUAUGCUCUUAGCAUGUCACCCGCGAUGUACCCAGGUACACGGGAACUUUCUGGUCGUCCUUGAUCCCUGGAACCAUGAUGCAUUGUACCUCCUCUUCUCUAAGCAGGAUACCCUUGGACCCCUUCUUUACUGUAGGCCCCGGGAUGAAUCUGGAAGAGAUGCUGGUUCAGUCUUGCUGCCGUUGCAUGCUCUGUUGGCUGUCCUCAGGACAGCAGCCCAGGCUCCUCCAGGGUGUUCUGGGUCAUGAUGCUUCUCCUGGCCAAUAUCUCCCCCUUUUCAGCCCAUAGCUGGUCUGUAGUCCCAUGAAGCAAAAGGGUGUAAGGAACAAGGCGCCUGGGCCCUUACUCCUUCUUCCUGGGGUCUCUGCUGCCACAGCACAAAUCCUUUCAAAACUCUGGCCCAUGUUGCCUUGUGUAUCACAAAGGGGUCAAUCCCUUGUCUGGGGUUUCAUUUUGAAAAGUUCCUAGUCAUUGCUUUUGGUUAGAUAACUAUCAAAUAACAUACUACGUUUUUCUGGCACUAUAGUUUUCAAACAUUUCCACAAUGAGGAGCUCAUUGUCUUAGCCUCCCUUUGAAAUAGCCAGGGCCAUUUUUAUCCCCAUCAUGGAGUUGAGCCACUGAGGCCCAAAGGGCCUGAGGUCACACAGCUGCUAAGGGGUAGGGUUGGCCUUGGUUCUAGUUUACCUUACCCCUCACUUGGUGCUCCAUGGACUGUUGUGCGGCUUCUAAUGACAAUGACAUGUGCUGCUAUUAUGACGCACUCACCCAAGAUCCGGCAUCAUUGCUGGCAGUCAUGCUUCCUGUGAAGUUUGCAGACCCUUGUCUGAGCUCUGUCUGGGCCCCAGGCCAGGCUGUGUGAGCCAGGUGCCCUCUAAGGAGGUGAGGUACCCUCACUAAGAAUGGUCUCUGCCUGCCGCUCUCACUCACUCCUGCUCCGGAAUUUUCUCGUCCCUGCUCGUCCUGGAUCUCUCAGAGGCAAGGCAAAAGCAGCUGAUGAAGUGGCCACAGUCCCCUAAGAGGAGGCCAAUGGGUGGAAUUCACAACAACCCCAGCCCUGAGGUUUGGAAGACAAACGACUUCUGUUUCAGACGAAUGGGAGUGUCAAGUUAUUCCAGCCCGAUGAGAUUACAGCUCAGAGGAUCACGAGGAAUCAAUUCCUCCAGAAGAGGAAAAAAACAGCUGGCACAGGAGCUCUGCAGGGCCUUUUGCUAAAGGGAGUUCUUCUUCCAUAAAAGGAGCCAACAAGAUUUUGAUCGCUUUCUUCAAUCUUUUUUGUUUUGUUUCAUUUUUAUAAAAAGAAGAGCAGCUUCUGCCCUGGAAUAAAACCUGAUCUGCAUUCUGACACAACACCCUUGGGCAGCCUGAGCACAUUCUGGAAUUACAGAAACAAACUCAUCUGAGAAACAAAAAAGUUCUAUUUAUCGUACCUGCAAGGAAAGUGCAAGUGCUCACUGAUGCCCAUGGUGGCCACCCUUGGGGAUCAGAAGGUGCCCUUGAAGACUGACCCAUUUGGGAGCCCCCAGACAGGUGCUCACCAUUAACUUUUUGGGAUUUCUCCCCCUCAGGGCAAUUCACUCCUUGGCUUUUAAGGUUGAAUAUGGGGUUCCCAAGUAGGAAUCUCACCUCCAUUUUGAGAGUCCUCUUGUCUCACCUUGAACCUCUCUGUUCCAUGAAGUUGGUGAAUGGCCUCCUUUGUUCUUAUGCUCAUCCUAGGCAUGAGUGCUAUUUACUCGUCUUCUCACACCCAGGGACUUUCUGUUCUUUUUUUUGCUUGGAGACUGGGUAGGGAAUGGAUAUGGGAGCACAGCAUGAUAUUUUCCCAUCGACUUGAGGGUGGAUGCGCCACCUAAUAACUUUGUGCCUCAGUUUCUUCAACAGCUCAACAUUACCAUGUGAAUUCUUGCUGCCUUUGUCUCUAUUGGGAAGAGUACUUUUGAAAUGAGGAAAUGUUGAUUAAAUCUAAGGGUGUGUGGUUGGUGGACUGCAUGCAUUAAUUCUACAAAAAAUUAUAGGAGUCCCACUGUGUAACUGGCGCUGUUUUAGGCACAAAAGGUAUAGGAGAUCACUAAAACAUGGUUGGGGUAGAGUUGGGGCACAGACAAGUAAAAGGAUUUGAUAUGUUUAGUGUAGUGCCUGGUACAGUUCAACAAAUGGUAGUCCUUGUUUCUAUCUUCCUCCUCUUCCUCCUUCUCCUUCUUGUCCUCCCUAACACACACUGUGCUAGGCCUGGGCAAACGAAGAGGAAGCUGUAAUUCCUUCGUGUAACUGGAUAAUCUGGAGGGAGAGAUAGACAUGCUAACUAGUCUGGAUGUGUAUGAGGUAGAACCUAGCAUACUUAUCAGUUAUUCCUCACAAAGUCCUUUCACAGGCUAGGAAACGCAGGCUUGUGCAGUCAUAUGAUUUCUUUCAGACAUGCAAAUAGUACAGAGAAAAAAAAAAGCCAAAAUUCAAACCCAGGGCAUGCUGAUGGCAAAGCCUGAGCCGUUCCAUCUUAGGGAGAGGUUGGUCAGUGUUUGUCAAAUGAAUAUUCAUUUGUGGGAUGCACAGGAAAAUGCCAGAACAGGUAGCACAGGACAGAGAAGAGAUGCUUAAAAGAUUAUAAAAGAAUAUCUGCAUUUUUUUGCUUCCUGCAGUGUGUGUGUAUCAGGGAAAAAGAGAGGAAACAGCAACCAAAGCCCAUCUUCUGUGAAUCAGUAGCAGAAAAAAGCAUAGACUCUGUCAAAGACUGCAGAUUUUGUAGAGUGUUAAAUUACCAGAUGAUGAUUUCAGAAUUGACAGCUGAAAACUGUUUCCGUCUAUUGGGAUGAUUUGGGUCUAUUGUCCUUGCUUUUGCCCUAUAUCCUACAGGAUAAUAACCUUUUCUUUUUUGUUCUCGAAUCAGGGAACAGAUUUGGGUGAGUGACAGGGAAGCGCGGAGGGGGGGAGACAGCUGAGAGGAAGGUGGAGCUGGUGGUUUCUUUCCUUUCUUAAGAAUAUUUGAUGAAAGCUUCGCACCCUCUGGCCAUCCGGUCUGUCCAGAGUCUCAUAAAAUGUGCUAGCACAUUGUGAAAUGAGUGCUUUUUCCCCCACACAGAAAAUCACAUUUUUUAAAACAUAUAAAAUAGGGGCAUUUGGGUGGCUCAGUCAAUUGAGCAUCUGACUCUUGAUUUUGGCUCAGGUCAUGAUUCCAGGGUUGUAGGAUCAAGCCUGCAUUGGGCUCUGCACUGAGAAUGGAGCCUGCCUGGAAUUCUCUCCCCCCAACCUCUCUCUCUCUCUCUCUCUCUCUCUCUCUCUCUCUCUCUCCCCCCCUCUGCCCCUCCCCUCUGCUAGUUCUCUCUCUCUCUCUCUCAUAAAAUAAAAUAAGACAAAAAUAAAAUAUAAAAUUACUACACAUUCACUGAAGCACAUAGAAAAGUAUAGAAGGGAGUGACCAUCAUUCAUUAUUCCAUCACUGCGUGAUGUACACAUACACUCGCCCACACAUAUUGUAUUACAAAAAGGGGAUCCUACUCAUGAUAGACACCUCUUGGGUACAUGUGCAAUCAUUUUUCUUACUCUGGGAACAUCCCAAUAAUCAGGGUUUACAUUAUUUGAUACACCAAACCUGCUUGACUUUGGUGUAGACAUCUGAUCCAAUCUAGACUAAUCUAGACCGACUCAGACAAUGUUCUUUGGAAUUUUUUUUUCUACUGAGAUCCCGGAAACUAUACUGGUUUCUGCCCUUUCCUCAUUCUUAGUUGGUUUAUUUUUUAAUCCAUGAAAAUUUCCAGCCUUUUUCCAGUGAAGGCAUGCUCUUCCCUUCCCUUCCUUUCUUUCUUUUUCUCCUUCUGUCUUUCUUAUUCUAGCCAGAAUCAAUUCCUCUUUACAACCUGAAGAACCUGAGUGAAUACAGAACUGACUGCUUUCUAAUCUUUUCUACUUAAUGAUGUAUCUUGGGCAUUUUCCCAGGUUAAUAAUUAGUCACAGACACAUGUAUAAUGGUUGCAUAAUAUUCCAGUGAAUAGAUGUACCACAGCAUCUAUAAGUAAAGGGAAACUGUUUUCAGCUGUCAAUGCUGAAUCCAUUGUCUGGUAAUUGAAACUUGGUGGG
Molecule: long non-coding RNA, 5886 nt
Organism: Panthera uncia (snow leopard)
Lineage: Eukaryota; Metazoa; Chordata; Mammalia; Carnivora; Felidae
Exons: 3
Source: RefSeq, a predicted model, not a curated record